GUAGCCGACCUGAGAGGGUGAUCGGCCACACUGGGACUGAGACCCGGCCCCCACUCCUACGGCAGGCAGCAGUAGGGAAUCUUCCGCAAUGGACGAAAGUCUGACGGAGCAACGCCGCGUGAGUGACGAAGGCCUUCGGGUCGUAAAGCUCUGUUGUUAGGGAAGAACAAGUACCGUUCGAAUAGGGCGGUACCUUGACGGUACCUAACCAGAAAGCCACGGCUAACUACGUGCCAGCAGCCGCGGUAAUACGUAGGUGGCAAGCGUUGUCCGGAAUUAUUGGGCGUAAAGCGCGCGCAGGCGGUCUUUUAAGUCUGAUGUGAAAGCCCACGGCUCAACCGUGGAGGGUCAUUGGAAACUGGAGGACUUGAGUGCAGAAGAGGAGAGUGGAAUUCCACGUGUAGCGGUGAAAUGCGUAGAUAUGUGGAGGAACACCAGUGGCGAAGGCGGCUCUCUGGUCUGUAACUGACGCUGAGGCGCGAAAGCGUGGGGAGCAAACAGGAUUAGAUACCCUGGUAGUCCACGCCGUAAACGAUGAGUGCUAGGUGUUGGGGGGUUCCACCCUCAGUGCUGAAGUUAACACAUUAAGCACUCCGCCUGGGGAGUACGACCGCAAGGUUGAAACUCAAAGGAAUUGACGGGGGCCCGCACAAGCAGUGGAGCAUGUGGUUUAAUUCGAAGCAACGCGAAGAACCUUACCAGGUCUUGACAUCCUCUGACAAUCCUGGAGACAGGACGUUCCCCUUCGGGGGACAGAGUGACAGGUGGUGCAUGGUUGUCGUCAGCUCGUGUCGUGAGAWNGUUGGGUUAAGUCCCGCAACGAGCGCAACCCUUGAUCUUAGNUUGCCAGCAUUCAGUUGGGCACUCUAAGGUGACUGCCGGUGACAAACCGGAGGAAGGUGGGGAUGACGUCAAAUCAUCAUGCCCCUUAUGACCUGGGGCUACACACGUGCUACAAUGGACGGGACAAAGGGCAGCGACACCGCGAGGUGAAGCAAAUCCCAUAAAGCCGGUCUCAGUUCGGAUUGCAGGCUGCAACUCGCCUGCAUGAA
This 1052-nucleotide ribosomal RNA is filed under the name Bacillus sp. (in: firmicutes). RNAcentral's name for it is "bacterial SSU rRNA". It matches the Rfam family "Bacterial small subunit ribosomal RNA", at positions 283 to 1324 of the family's 1533-position model. The record is from RNAcentral. Lineage: Bacteria; Bacillati; Bacillota; Bacilli; Caryophanales; Bacillaceae.